RNAcentral lists this ribosomal RNA (246 nucleotides) under uncultured bacterium. RNAcentral describes it as "partial 16S ribosomal RNA". It matches the Rfam family "Bacterial small subunit ribosomal RNA", at positions 527 to 771 of the family's 1533-position model. The record is from RNAcentral.
GUAGGGGGCAAGCGUUAUCCGGAUUUACUGGGUGUAAAGGGUGCGUAGGUGGCAGGGCAAGUCAGAUGUGAAAGCCCGGGGCUCAACCCCGGUACUGCAUUUGAAACUGUCCAGCUGGAGUGCAGGAGAGGUAAGCGGAAUUCCUAGUGUAGCGGUGAAAUGCGUAGAUAUUAGGAGGAACACCAGUGGCGAAGGCGGCCUGCUGGACGGUGUACUGACGCUGAGGCUCGAAAGCGUGGGGAGCAA